CUACUUUGCCUACCACUAUAUUUUGCCCACCACUAUACUUUGCCAAUCCUCUAUUAAUCAUCAUCUCCACCAUCCUGCAAUUAUCGAAGAGCAGCCCCUGCCUGUUUCUGCCAAAGUUCCCAGGUCAUUCACUCUCUGCCGAAAGUUCCAAGAGCUUUGGCACGUUGAUUCACUAGCUCAACCACAAUAGCCAACUACACAUUUUAAGUGAGAGUAGGGAACUUAGCUUCUGAGAGGGAGGAGGACUGAACGGCUCCGAGGAGGAGGCGAGGCGACACCCUUCGCCGGAAAUCGCACAGCAGCAGCCGACCUGAACCAUGGUCGAGCAGGGGCUCGAGCGCACCA
This is a long non-coding RNA of Salvia miltiorrhiza (redroot sage), 345 nucleotides long. RefSeq lists it as uncharacterized. The record is from RefSeq and is a predicted model, not a curated record. NCBI's taxonomy places the organism in Eukaryota, Viridiplantae, Streptophyta, Magnoliopsida, Lamiales, Lamiaceae. The transcript has 3 exons.